RNAcentral lists this unclassified non-coding RNA (304 nucleotides) under plant metagenome. Its description in RNAcentral is "partial contains 5.8S ribosomal RNA, internal transcribed spacer 2, and large subunit ribosomal RNA". The stretch from base 1 to 105 matches the Rfam family "5.8S ribosomal RNA", at positions 50 to 154 of the family's 154-position model. The record is from RNAcentral.
GAAAUGCGAUAAGUAAUGUGAAUUGCAGAAUUCCGUGAAUCAUCGAAUCUUUGAACGCACAUUGCGCCCCCUGGCAUUCCGGGGGGUAUGCCUGUCCGAGCGUCAUUUCUGCCCUCAAGCACGGCUUGUGUGUUGGGUGUGGUCCCCCCGGGGACCUGCCCGAAAGGCAGCGGCGACGUCCGUCUGGUCCUCGAGCGUAUGGGGCUCUGUCACUCGCUCGGGAAGGACCUGCGGGGGUUGGUCACCACCAUAUUUCACCACGGUUGACCUCGGAUCAGGUAGGAGUUACCCGCUGAACUUAAGC